UUAAGUGACGAUAGCCUAGGAGAUACACCUGUACCCAUGCCGAACACAGAAGUUAAGCCCUA
Streptococcus infantis SK970 is the source of this 62-nucleotide non-coding RNA. The record is from Rfam. Lineage: Bacteria; Bacillati; Bacillota; Bacilli; Lactobacillales; Streptococcaceae.